GUUUACAAACGUUUGUUAAAAAAUUACAUUUUUGACAAUUUUUCAAAUAUCUUAUCUGCAUGUGGAAUUGCUUAUUUAGCUAGUACAAUUGCCUAUACUCCCAAUAGUCUACAUCAUGAAAUAGGUAAUCAUUUUGAAUAUAAAACUGGUAGUAUUUCUGCAUUAGUUUUUUUUAUAUUACUACUGAUGUUCAGUCUGAAAUUAUUAUAUGGGAUUCAAACGGGAAAACGAUUAAUGUUUGUUCCUUGGAUGGUGUGCAUCGUCAUCAUUAUAGUAUUGCAGAGUGCUGCACUUUUCAUGUACUUAGUAAAUAUGUACAAUAUUAUGGACCGGCAUCAAUUUGGCCUUUUAAUGAUAAUGAUUGGUAUGUUAGGAGUGAAUGUUGGAUGCUUUAUCCUAGUCAAUACUUACUAUCAGGUCUUAAGAUUGGGUUUAAAAGAGUAUAGCCCACUGGUAUACACAAUUAUGUAAUAUUUUAAACAUUCUGGAUUCAGAAAUUCUUCAUCGUGAUUUAUAUGAUAUAUAUAAUUUGGUUAUGUUUCACUAUUUUGGUAUCAAUAAAAAAUGACAAUGAUUAACUAUCAAUAUUUUAAAAAAAUUAAUGUCUAAUAAUCUAUUAUAAUCCAAAUAAUUCUAGUGGAUUAUUUUGGAAUUACUAUACAUUGUAAUUAAUAUAAUAAUGUCUAUUAUCCAAGGUAAGGUGCACCAAGAAUAAUCUCGGAUUAUCAAACUCUAACAUGGAUUGUUUAAUCGAUUAAGUAGGAUUCUACUUUGACUGCCUCAUGUUUUCGUGGGGUAAACGUGUAGUUUAGUCCAGU
RNAcentral lists this long non-coding RNA (818 nucleotides) under Androctonus crassicauda. The record is from RNAcentral. Lineage: Eukaryota; Metazoa; Arthropoda; Arachnida; Scorpiones; Buthidae.